Molecule: ribosomal RNA, 246 nt
Filed under: uncultured bacterium
Lineage: Bacteria
Description: partial 16S ribosomal RNA
Rfam family: Bacterial small subunit ribosomal RNA
Source: RNAcentral
CGUAGGUGGCAAGCGUUGUCCGGAUUUAUUGGGCGUAAAGCGAGCGCAGGCGGUUUCUUAAGUCUGAUGUGAAAGCCCCCGGCUCAACCGGGGAGGGUCAUUGGAAACUGGGAGACUUGAGUGCAGAAGAGGAGAGUGGAAUUCCAUGUGUAGCGGUGAAAUGCGUAGAUAUAUGGAGGAACACCAGUGGCGAAGGCGGCUCUCUGGUCUGUAACUGACGCUGAGGCUCGAAAGCGUGGGGAGCAA